AUGGGAGGGAAAAUGGAGGUUGAGAGGUCAUCGUGGAGCGAGGACGGCAACCUGGUUCAGGACGCGGUGGACUACCGGGGUUGCCCGGCCAGCAGGUCAAACACCGGCAGCUGGCUGGGAGCGGCAUCCAUCGUCGGCAUCGAGCUCUGCGAGCGGCUGGCCACCAUGGGCAUCGCCGUGAACCUGGUGACCUACCUCACGGACACCAUGCACCUGCCCAGCGCUGCGUCCGCCAACGUCGUCACCGACUUCAUGGGCACCUCCUUCCUCCUCUGCUUCCUCGGCGGCUUCCUCGCCGACGCCUUCCUCGGCCGCUACCUCACCAUCGCCAUCUUCGCGCUCGUCCAGGCGCUCGGCACCGGACUCCUCGCUGUGUCGACGACCAUACGCCAUCUCCGCCCGCCACCCUGCGGGGGCGCGGCACCAUGCGAGGAGGCCACGGGUCUGCAGAUGGGCGUGCUCUACGUGUGCCUCUACCUCAUCGCGCUCGGCACCGGCGGCCUCAAGUCUAGCGUCUCCGGCUUUGGCACCGACCAGUUUGACGAGCGUGAUGAUCGCGAGCGCGCCGCCAUGGGAUACUUCUUCGACCGUUUCUUCUUCUUCAUCAGCCUGGGCACACUUCUCGCAGUUACCGUCCUCGUCUACAUCCAGGACCAUGUCGGCCGGAGCUGGGCCUAUGGCCUCUGCUCUGGCGCCAUGCUCGUGGCCAUCGCAGUCUUCCUCUCGGGAACCAAGAGGUACCGCUACAAACGGAGCUCCGGCAGCCCGGUCGUGCACAUCCUCCAGGUCCUCGUCGCAGCCGCACGGAAGCGCGGCCUCAAGCAGCCGCUCACCGCCGCCGCGCUCUACGAGGACCGCCCCGAGCACGCGAGGAUCCACCACACCGCCCAGUUCUGGUGCUUGGACAACGCGGCCGUGAUGGCCGGUGAGGAGGACAAUGAGGUGGGGCCGGAUGGGCGGCCAGCACCGAACCCGUGGAAGCUGUGCUCGGUGUCCCGCGUGGAGGAGGUGAAGAUGGUGGCGAGGCUCAUGCCUGUGUGGGCGACGAUGAUCUUGUUCUGGACCAUCUACGCGCAGAUGAUCACCUUCUCGGUGGAGCAGGCGACCACCAUGGACCGGCGCAUCGGCGGCUUCGAGAUCCCAGCCGCGUCGCUCACCGUCUUCUUCGUUGGCGCCAUCAUGCUGACCCUCGCCGUCUACGACCGCGUCUUCAUCCCGCUAUGCCGAAACCUCACAGGCCGGCCGGGGUUCACUAACCUGGAAAAGAUCGGCAUCGGCCUGGUCCUGUCCAUCAUCGGCAUGGUCGCUGCUGCCAUCUGCGAGAAGAAGCGUCUCACGGUUGCCUCCACAGCCACGAAUGGGACUGCGCUGCCGAUCAGCGUGUUCAUGCUGAUUCCGCAGUUCCUGCUGGUGGGCGCGGGCGAGGCGUUCAUCUACACGGGGCAGCUGGACUUCUUCAUCACGCGAUCGCCCAAGAGCAUGAAGACCAUGAGCACCGGCCUCUUCCUCACCACGCUCUCCCUCGGCUUCUUCCUCAGCAGCGCCCUCGUCUCUCUCGUUAGGGGUGCCACCACCUGGCUCGGUGACACCAUCAAUCACAGCCGCCUUGAUUACUUCUACUGGCUACUCGCCGUGCUCGGUGCCAUCAACCUGGCCGCCUACCUCCUAUGCGCCAUGUGGGCCACGCCGGCCGCCAGCAGCAAGGCGGAGCAACCGCAUCAUGGAACAGCGGCCGACGAGAAAUGCUAG
Molecule: ribosomal RNA, 1749 nt
Filed under: Triticum aestivum (bread wheat)
Lineage: Eukaryota; Viridiplantae; Streptophyta; Magnoliopsida; Poales; Poaceae
Description: partial small subunit ribosomal RNA
Source: RNAcentral